GGGGGCGUAGCUCAUCUGGGAGAGCGAUGCGUUCGCAACGCAUAGGUAGUGGGUUCAAGUCCCAUCGCCUCCA
Molecule: transfer RNA, 73 nt
Organism: Desulfovibrio sp.
Lineage: Bacteria; Pseudomonadati; Thermodesulfobacteriota; Desulfovibrionia; Desulfovibrionales; Desulfovibrionaceae
Rfam family: tRNA
About the family: Transfer RNA (tRNA) molecules are approximately 80 nucleotides in length. Their secondary structure includes four short double-helical elements and three loops (D, anti-codon, and T loops).
Source: Rfam